RNAcentral lists this ribosomal RNA (798 nucleotides) under uncultured bacterium. RNAcentral describes it as "bacterial SSU rRNA". It matches the Rfam family "Bacterial small subunit ribosomal RNA", at positions 61 to 859 of the family's 1533-position model. The record is from RNAcentral.
GUCGAACGAUAGAUGAGAGCUUGCUCUCAUCGAAAGUGGCGCACGGGUGCGUAACGCGUAUGCAACCUACCUUUAUCAGGGGGAUAGCCCGGAGAAAUCCGGAUUAAUACCGCAUAAUAUCAUUUUAUAGCAUUAUAUUAUGAUCAAACAUUUAUGGGAUAAAGAUGGGCAUGCGUGUCAUUAGCUAGUUGGCGGGGUAACGGCCCACCAAGGCGACGAUGACUAGGGGAUCUGAGAGGAUGGCCCCCCACACUGGUACUGAGACACGGACCAGACUCCUACGGGAGGCAGCAGUAAGGAAUAUUGGUCAAUGGAGGCAACUCUGAACCAGCCAUGCCGCGUGCAGGAAGACUGCCCUAUGGGUUGUAAACUGCUUUUAUCCGGGAAUAAACCUACUUACGUGUAAGUAGCUGAAUGUACCGGAAGAAUAAGGAUCGGCUAACUCCGUGCCAGCAGCCGCGGUAAUACGGAGGAUCCAAGCGUUAUCCGGAUUUAUUGGGUUUAAAGGGUGCGUAGGCGGCCUGUUAAGUCAGGGGUGAAAGACGGUAGCUCAACUAUCGCAGUGCCCUUGAUACUGAUGGGCUUGAAUGGACUAGAGGUAGGCGGAAUGAGACAAGUAGCGGUGAAAUGCAUAGAUAUGUCUCAGAACACCGAUUGCGAAGGCAGCUUACUAUGGUCUUAUUGACGCUGAGGCACGAAAGCGUGGGGAUCAAACAGGAUUAGAUACCCUGGUAGUCCACGCCCUAAACGAUGAACACUCGCUGUUGGCGAUACACAGUCAGCGGCUAAGCGAAAGCG